RNAcentral lists this transfer RNA (74 nucleotides) under Staphylococcus aureus. RNAcentral's name for it is "tRNA-Met-CAT". The stretch from base 1 to 59 matches the Rfam family "tRNA", at positions 14 to 71 of the family's 71-position model. Rfam says of the family: Transfer RNA (tRNA) molecules are approximately 80 nucleotides in length. Their secondary structure includes four short double-helical elements and three loops (D, anti-codon, and T loops). The record is from RNAcentral. Lineage: Bacteria; Bacillati; Bacillota; Bacilli; Caryophanales; Staphylococcaceae.
AGCGGUAAGGCAACGGACUUUGACUCCGUCACUCGUUGGUUCGAAUCCAGCUAGCCCAGUUAUUGGCGGCAUAG